GUCUUUUCCUUAUCUCUGCUGGCCAUCACUGGCAGGUGGUCCCCCUUCACCGCUGGCGUGACUCGGGGGUUACCUUGCGGCUCGAUUUCCCAUUGCAGGUGGGUGAGUGAACGCUUCUUUCUCCUCACCAGAACACACACCACUGCCGAUUUUGCCAUGAGCGUCCAGGCGGGGGAUCGCCCCGUCGGCUGCUCCUUGUUGGGACGAAGGGAAUUCUUUGGGCCACGUUCACACUAUGUAGAGCCAAGGUUGGUAGUUAACGCCCAAGUGCCAGCCGCGAUCCAUCCGCGUGAACAUGUCCCUGAGCUACCUCUUCGUCUUCCAUUCCGCGAUUGAGUGCUUCAAUUGGCCAGCUUCCGAUUCGCAUUGACCUGUCUCUGACAGAGGAUAGAGCUGGAUGGCCUCUAGAACGGCGGGAGAAGCCCUCGCAUAUCUAUGUGUACCACUCGUCAUCUGACCAAGUCUACACUAGACUUGGGUUCUGAGAUCUCAGAUCAGCUCACAUUGUGGCUCCUCUGGUAGCCAAGUUGCAAGUGCGUGCUCAGCCGUGUCAUCACAGAAAUUCAGAACAGUCAGAGCGAAAGUGAUGGAUUUUGGGCGAGGUCAGGAUGCAUUUGGACGUGAUCUGCUGAUCAAGGGUUCCCCCAUCGACGAUGUACA
Neurospora crassa OR74A is the source of this 660-nucleotide non-coding RNA. NCBI's taxonomy places the organism in Eukaryota, Fungi, Ascomycota, Sordariomycetes, Sordariales, Sordariaceae. The record is from RefSeq and is a predicted model, not a curated record.